Molecule: ribosomal RNA, 237 nt
Filed under: uncultured bacterium
Lineage: Bacteria
Description: partial 16S ribosomal RNA
Rfam family: Bacterial small subunit ribosomal RNA
Source: RNAcentral
UGAGCAAUCUGCCCUUCUCUUUGGAAUAAGCGUGGGAAACCGCGUCUAAUGCCGAAUACGACCUCCUUUCGCAUGAUCGGAGGUGGAAAGCUCCGGCGGAGAAGGAUGAGCUCGCGGCCUAUCAGCUAGUUGGUGUGGGUAAUGGCCCACCAAGGCGACGACGGGUAGCCGGCCUGAGAGGGUGACCGGCCACACUGGGACUGAGACACGGCCCAGACCUCCGUACGGGAGGNAGCG